This is a long non-coding RNA of Scatophagus argus, 1686 nucleotides long. RefSeq lists it as uncharacterized. The record is from RefSeq and is a predicted model, not a curated record. The transcript has 3 exons. NCBI's taxonomy places the organism in Eukaryota, Metazoa, Chordata, Actinopteri, Scatophagidae.
GGUGCAGUUCAGCUCUUUGGGCAGUUCUGCGGAAAGUCUGACGUUUGUUCAGUUCCGUGGUUUCCGUUCUGACAGUGAUGACCGAGACUCCGCCCCUCCGUGAGGUCCCACCUGUGUGAGAAAACCUCGAGGUACUGAACACACCUGAAGAAGUGUGGAUCAGGUGUUACCGCAGCGUGAAAUGAGUUGCUGUGAAACGAGUCGGCAGUGAUUAUCGGAAACACGUGGCUGAUUUUUCAUCUACGCUCGCAGCCCCGCGGCAAGGAACCGACAGGAGUGACGGAGAAGGAGAAACCUGACAGCAUUUCCUGUUUCAUGAAGCAGGUUAACACACUGAUGUCGCCUCAGAGCCUCAGGCCGCCGCGUGAAGAAGGACGACGCGUCACUCAGGCGACCGGCUGCUUAAAAAUGGAUGAAGUGUUGCGAGUGUGAAGGGUUCAUUACUGCUCUGAGAAGACGUGUGAGGUGUGAACGGCCCCUCGAGUCAAUCAGGCACAAAUGAUAACGAAGUGAAGUGAGUGUGACUGAGACUGAGGUCUGCAGUGGGCAGCCGUCUGUUUCAGUACAAAAGACUUGGAGAGAAAUUCACCUCCACCCAGAUGUGAGCCCAAGUCCCGAGUCAAGACUGACAAGUCACAAGUCCUACACUUUGAGUCCUAAACUGUCAGAACAUCGUCUUCACUAAAUGUACAAACAGAAACUUUUAAAUGACCUUCAAGUCAGUGAUUAUCAUAACGCUGUGUUGUCUCUGGUGGGAAACCAGGAUGUAAGACGAGUGCCGCGCAGGUGACAUCACAUGGUGAAAAUGAUGAUUUUCUGAUUGGUUAGGAGAGGACAUGCAGAGGACGUACCGGUUUGAGACGCAGCUGUCCGUUCAGGUUGUCCAGCAGCCCGUGAUGUCUGGACACUCUCUUGUCACUGACCUGAGAAGAUGACAUGGAAAACAGAACAAACACAGGAUGAAGAAUCUGUGGGUGACGUUCUUCAAAGGAACCUCCUCAUCCCCACGCUGAGGCAAAGUCAGCUGAAGGUUCUCAGUCCACAGCAGCUUCACAGCAGCUUCCUGCUGAGCAACUGUGAAGACUUUGGCUUGAAAAGAGGACAAAACAUCUUCUCAGAUCAAUGUCAGAUCAAAUCAUGACCAGCUGUAUGGAGCGAGUUUUUGGUUUUUUCUGUUGUUUUUACUUUUCACAACGAGCUCCCGUUUGUUCAGCUCCAGCAGGAUGUUUUACUGUGAAGCUCCAGUGGACGAAGAAACUUCAUGAGCACUCAGGCUCGUUCUGCACAAGCAGAGACUCAGACGGCCAAAGAAAAGCACUAAAAACUGAUGGAAACUCGUGGUCCAGUCAUGUGACGGCGCCCCCCAGUGGUUCAGUGGACAACCUGCCGCUCAGCUGAGACGCUGACAGAUGCUCCAUAUGAUCCAAUCUGGCAAACGUGUUACCAGAAGUCUACCAAAGCCCUCAGCGACACACAUCUACACACUGGGUCAGCGUGCACACAGGGCCGCGAAUUAGGGGUGAAUGAGGGUCCCAAAUACCUGAAGCCCACCACAAGUAUCAUUUGGUGGAGGACAGGAACUGCCAAAAUCAGAAAAAAAUGAAAGUCUCGAUACAUAAAUUAAUAUACCAUUGAAUGCACCAAAAGUAACAUUAGAAAUACUUGAAGGCAUUCUAAUUUAUAAAA